RNAcentral lists this transfer RNA (77 nucleotides) under Candidatus Peregrinibacteria bacterium. RNAcentral describes it as "tRNA-Asp". It matches the Rfam family "tRNA". Rfam says of the family: Transfer RNA (tRNA) molecules are approximately 80 nucleotides in length. RNAcentral also lists the same sequence under 2 other names. Lineage: Bacteria; Candidatus Peregrinibacteriota. The record is from RNAcentral.
GGAGCGGUAGUUCAGUUGGUUAGAACGCCUGCCUGUCACGCAGGAGGUCGCGGGUUCAAGUCCCGUCCGUUCCGCCA